GGCGGAAGCUCAUUGCAGAGGACACACGCUGAGCGUUCAUCACUCCAUAAAGCUCCUCUGGGAAGGUCUGAGACAAGAGCCAAUAGCUUCUCCUGCAGGGCACCACCUGAUCAGGUGAGCGAGUGAACAGAAAACACGGGGCGCUGUGGACGGUCGUUGCAGGAGAAGCCUGGUGGCGUCGUGUCUCUGCGACCCGGUGGAUGUGACGCGCACCGCCUUGGAAUCGCUCUAUCUCUCUAUCUCUCUAUCGCUCCACACCUAUUAUUAUUAUAAUAAAACAACACACAGGACAGACAUUUAGCUAUUUGCU
This 310-nucleotide long non-coding RNA is filed under the name Mastacembelus armatus (zig-zag eel). RNAcentral's name for it is "Nuclear RNase P (ENSMAMG00000025242.1)". It matches the Rfam family "Nuclear RNase P", at positions 1 to 212 of the family's 301-position model. From Rfam's summary of the family: Ribonuclease P (RNase P) is a ubiquitous endoribonuclease, found in archaea, bacteria and eukarya as well as chloroplasts and mitochondria. Lineage: Eukaryota; Metazoa; Chordata; Actinopteri; Synbranchiformes; Mastacembelidae. The record is from RNAcentral.